RNAcentral lists this ribosomal RNA (491 nucleotides) under uncultured bacterium. RNAcentral describes it as "partial 16S ribosomal RNA". It matches the Rfam family "Bacterial small subunit ribosomal RNA", at positions 29 to 506 of the family's 1533-position model. The record is from RNAcentral.
AGUGAACGCUGGCGGUAGGCCUAACACAUGCAAGUCGAACGGCAGCACAGUAAGAGCUUGCUCUUACGGGUGGCGAGUGGCGGACGGGUGAGGAAUACAUCGGAAUCUACUUUUUCGUGGGGGAUAACGUAGGGAAACUUACGCUAAUACCGCAUACGACCUACGGGUGAAAGCAGGGGAUCUUCGGACCUUGCGCGAUUGAAUGAGCCGAUGUCGGAUUAGCUAGUUGGCGGGGUAAAGGCCCACCAAGGCGACGAUCCGUAGCUGGUCUGAGAGGAUGAUCAGCCACACUGGAACUAGGACACGGUCCAGACUCCUACGGGAGGCAGCAGUGGGGAAUAUUGGACAAUGGGCGCAAGCCUGAUCCAGCCAUACCGCGUGGGUGAAGAAGGCCUUCGGGUUGUAAAGCCCUUUUGUUGGGAAAGAAAAGCAGCAGGUUAAUACCCCGCUGUUCUGACGGUACCCAAAGAAUAAGCACCGGCUAACUUCGU